AGAGUUUGAUCCUGGCUCAGGAUGAACGCUGGCGGUCUGCUUAACACAUGCAAGUCGAACGCAUCUUUCGGGGUGAGUGGCGGACGGGUGAGUAACGCGUGAGAAUCUGCCUAGAGGUCGGGGACAACCAUUGGAAACGAUGGCUAAUACCGGAUAUGCCUUACGGGGUGAAAGAUUAAUUGCCUUUAGAAGAGCUCGCGUCUGAUUAGCUAGUUGGUAGGGUAAAAGCCUACCAAGGCAUCGAUCAGUAGCUGGUCUGAGAGGAUGACCAGCCACACUGGGACUGAGACACGGCCCAGACUCCUACGGGAGGCAGCAGUGGGGAAUUUUCCGCAAUGGGCGAAAGCCUGACGGAGCAAGACCGCGUGAGGGAGGAAGGCUCUUGGGUCGUAAACCUCUUUUGUCAGGGAAGAACAAAAUGACGGUACCUGACGAAUCAGCAUCGGCUAACUCCGAGCCAGCAGCCGCGGUAAUACGGAGGAUGCAAGCGUUAUCCGGAAUUAUUGGGCGUAAAGCGUCCGCAGGUGGCUGAUCAAGUCUGCGGUCAAAGACCGGGGCUUAACCCUGGAAAGGCCGUGGAAACUGAUCAAGCUAGAGUACCGUAGGGGUAGAGGGAAUUCCCGGUGUAGCGGUGAAAUGCGUAGAGAUCGGGAAGAACAUCGGUGGCGAAAGCGCUCUACUGGACGGUGACUGACACUCAGGGACGAAAGCUAGGGGAGCGAAUGGGAUUAGAUACCCCCGUAGUCC
RNAcentral lists this ribosomal RNA (747 nucleotides) under uncultured cyanobacterium. Its description in RNAcentral is "bacterial SSU rRNA". It matches the Rfam family "Bacterial small subunit ribosomal RNA", at positions 8 to 796 of the family's 1533-position model. Lineage: Bacteria; Bacillati; Cyanobacteriota. The record is from RNAcentral.